This 304-nucleotide unclassified non-coding RNA is filed under the name plant metagenome. Its description in RNAcentral is "partial contains 5.8S ribosomal RNA, internal transcribed spacer 2, and large subunit ribosomal RNA". The stretch from base 1 to 104 matches the Rfam family "5.8S ribosomal RNA", at positions 51 to 154 of the family's 154-position model. The record is from RNAcentral.
AAAUGCGAUAAGUAGUGUGAAUUGCAGAAUUCAGUGAAUCAUCGAAUCUUUGAACGCACAUUGCGCCCUUUGGUAUUCCAAAGGGCAUGCCUGUUCGAGCGUCAUUUGUACCCUCAAGCUUUGCUUGGUGUUGGGCGUCUUGUCUCCAGUUCGCUGGAGACUCGCCUUAAAGUAAUUGGCAGCCGGCCUACUGGUUUCGGAGCGCAGCACAAGUCGCGCUCUCUUCCAGCCAAGGUCAGCAUCCACAAAGCCUUUUUUCAACUUUUGACCUCGGAUCAGGUAGGGAUACUCGCUGAACUUAAGC